This 638-nucleotide ribosomal RNA is filed under the name Clostridioides difficile. RNAcentral's name for it is "partial 23S ribosomal RNA". It matches the Rfam family "Bacterial large subunit ribosomal RNA", at positions 141 to 783 of the family's 2925-position model. Lineage: Bacteria; Bacillati; Bacillota; Clostridia; Peptostreptococcales; Peptostreptococcaceae. The record is from RNAcentral.
UGUCUAAGUAUCAUUAAGUGAAUACAUAGCUUAAUGAGGGGAACUCAGGGAACUGAAACAUCUAAGUACCUGAAGGAAGAGAAAGAAAUUCGAUUCCGUAAGUAGCGGCGAGCGAACGCGGAUUAGCCCAAACCAAUAAAGUUUUCUUUAUUGGGGUUGCGGACAUAUCAUAACGAAGAGGUAUCGUAAUUGAAGAGGUUUGGAAAGACCCACCACAGAAGGUAAUAGUCCUGUAUGUUAAACGAGAAGACUUUAGAUAUGAUCCAGAGUACCACGGGACACGUGAAACCCUGUGGGAAGCAGGAGGGACCACCCUCCAAGGCUAAAUACUACCUAGUGACCGAUAGCGUAUAGUACCGUGAGGGAAAGGUGAAAAGAACCCCGGGAGGGGAGUGAAAUAGAACCUGAAACCCUGCACUUACAAGCUGUGGAAGCACAUUUCUUGUGUGACCGCGUACUUUUUGUAGAACGGGCCAACGAGUUACGUUAAGUAGCAAGGUUAAGCACUUAAGGUGCGGAGCCGUAGCGAAAGCGAGUUUUAACUGAGCGUUCAGUUACUUGACGUAGACCCGAAACCGGGCGACCUACCCAUGAGCAGGAUGAAGCGAAAGUAAAAUUUCGUGGAGGUCCGAACCCAC